Molecule: small nuclear RNA, 266 nt
Filed under: Microtus ochrogaster (prairie vole)
Lineage: Eukaryota; Metazoa; Chordata; Mammalia; Rodentia; Cricetidae
Description: 7SK RNA (ENSMOCG00000005912.1)
Rfam family: 7SK RNA
About the family: 7SK was discovered as an abundant small nuclear RNA in the mid-70s but a possible function has only recently been suggested. Two independent studies have found that 7SK RNA binds the CDK9/cyclin T complex (known as elongation factor P-TEFb).
Source: RNAcentral
AACUGUUAUAGCUGUCACCCUGCCAAUCAUCAGGAUUAAUGUGACUGAUUUGCCGAGCUAAGGAGGUGUCCCCUUCCUCUCCCACGGCUUGUGUGUUCCUCUUUCAAGCUGCACUCGAUGGAAGAGGACAACCUUUCCUAACAAAAGAGGCCCGCUGUUUGGCCAAGGGUAUAUGAGGAUCUACGAGCUCUCAAGGUAAGUGCUCAGCCACUGAGUAAGUUCUAUAGCACCCUAAGUAGUGUGUAAUCAGUAUUUUCUCCAUUUUG